RNAcentral lists this long non-coding RNA (2374 nucleotides) under Rattus norvegicus (Norway rat). RNAcentral's name for it is "long non-coding RNA NONRATT023919". Lineage: Eukaryota; Metazoa; Chordata; Mammalia; Rodentia; Muridae. The record is from RNAcentral.
CUCCUCCACAGCUCCUCCUGGUCUUGGAAUGUGCCCCUCCUGGCUGGCCCUCUCCCAAGAACACAGAGGGCCCAAGGGUCAGGAUGUGGCUGGACCUGUUCCCUCCUUACUGGACCACGUGAGGACGAGGCCCUGAACACUUAAGGGUACUGUGGCUUGAUGGGGACUUUGGUCCCCUCUCCAGUGGCCUAGGUAGGACUUUCCUGGAUCACACCUUGCUCCCAGGGAGAUGGUGCCAGGCUUGCAGGCUGUGACCUGAGGGUGGAGGGCACAGCGGCUGCACCCAUCAGUAGCCAGAGAAGGGAGGCCAGAGGUCAACCCCUGUCGCUCCCUGGCCAGAGAGGCUGGUAUGGCUGGCCUCCUCAUCUCAAGGGGUUCCUGGUUUGGACUGUCGUAAGCUUCAGUGGUCCUCGUGUGGGAGUUGGCAGUGGAACUACUCCAACUGGCCUGGACCUCUGUAGAAAUCUGGGCUUCAAGUCUAAGACUGCUCUGCCCCCACUCACAAAUGAGGUAGCCUGAGCUACCUCAAGGCAGGCAUUGUGGAGAGGUCCCGGCAAUGGACCCCUUAAGGCCUAGUGGAGCCCUUGUCAAGAGGCAGUCCUUGGAGCAGGAGCAGAUGUAUGGUGGGACAGGGAGAAGGUGUGUUCCAUGCAAGGGGCAGAACGUGAAAGGAAAGGGAGUGUUCCGAGUCUCCUACAGUCCUGUACUCCUGGGCUGACAGCCACAGGCAGGCAUCUAGCCACAUCCUGUACCCCACAGGGUCAGGUGCUUCCAGUCCACUCCUGGCAACUGUGCAGUAACCUUUGGGGAGCUGCUCAGUGACCCCAGGGUCAUCAACACCCCGGUGGAGGUUCAGGCUGCUUUCCUAUGUAUGGUGUCUGCUACACCAGAGGACUGGUGGACUGAACACUGUCCCUGGGAGACGCACAUGCUAAGGCUGCUAAUGCAGGGAUUGUUACCAAGGGUUUUUUAUUAGUUUUAUUAGAACAAAGAGGCAUUCUGCUUGCAAUGUAAAAACAGUUCCAAAAAUCUCAAUGAGUCUCACACCGGGGCUGUGCUGGAUGGAGGUUUGGGAGAGCAGGAACUGGGGAGAAACAGGGUGGGCACAGGGCAGCUCCACCCUAAACGCUUAGGUAAGUUUUUGCCACAACCACCAGCUUUGUCCAGGGUCUGCCAUGAGGGGCCUGGAGCCUCACUAGAUCUGGCAGCUAAAGGCUCUCGCAUACCCUUAGAACAGAAUAGAACCCGGAAACAACCCCAACAGUCGUUCUUUUACAGAAGAUAGAAAUUGUCCUUUGAGGUCAGAGACCACCACUGAGGUCUGGUAAGGCAUGGGGCCACCAAGUCCUUUCUGCAGCUGGCUGGGUCCUUAGGAUCAAGCACUGUGGCUCCAGGAAUGGCAGCUGUGUGCUGGGUACACACCAGCACAUGCACAGAGAGACAGGCUGUGUUGAGCCUGCAGGGCCUGGUGGGCGGCACUCCUUCCUCAGCUACCGUAUGACAGUCCACACACCAGCCUUCCCACCCACUCACAGACCACUGGCUGGCUACACAGGACUACAUGGGCAUGGCUGACUUCUGUGGCCCCGGCACAGAUGUGCCAACAAUGACCAGCACUCCAGUUGGAAGCACAGCUGUGGAAGGCAGAUGCUGCCCGAGGACCAUGGCAGCAGCACUGUGCCCAGAAACAAGCUCUAAGACUAUGAUCACAACAUGAUGCUCUCAACUGUCUUUGCACAGCUGAUGUUGAAAAAAAAUGCUAUUAACAUGUUGUAGAAAAAUAAAUACCGUUCAAUAGACUGCCUGCCAUCCAGCCUGAACUUACAGGGCACAGCGCGCGCACCAGGCUUGGUGCCUCUCCUAGUUACUGGCCACAUGAUUCAGAACACUUUCAGCAGUUAUUUGAAUGAUCCAUGAGGACAGUAGACAGGAGGAUCAUACCAGAGCUAUAACGAUGACAGAUUCACAUCACACAGUCACCUGGACAAAAGCAGACACCUCAAAACACCCAGUGAAAGGGAGAACAACCACCGGUCACACAGACAUCUACAGCACACCUACAGGAGCCACAGGUGGGCAGACUGAUGCAGCCUGGACCAUCGUCAGCGAACCACGGUCACAUAGGGAGGGAGGGUGACCAGGUCGGCCUUGGAUGGGUACACCACUUUCAAGCUGCCUUCCAGGUCCACCACUCGGACCUGCUCCACCACCAGGGGGCACUGUCCAUCCUUCCCAGCUCUCGGAUUCAAGUUGGGAUCAGAAAGCCCAUGGCUGGCAUCAGUCUCUGUCCCUGAGAGCAUGUCUUCCUCUUUAUUUUCUGAAGUGCUUUUGUUCAGUUCUGCCAUUUUCUGCAAAUAAAAAUAACCUUUUUAAC